RNAcentral lists this ribosomal RNA (228 nucleotides) under Triticum aestivum (bread wheat). RNAcentral's name for it is "partial small subunit ribosomal RNA". Lineage: Eukaryota; Viridiplantae; Streptophyta; Magnoliopsida; Poales; Poaceae. The record is from RNAcentral.
AUGGACCAAUCCAUCCCUUUUUCCCGUGCAUAUGCAUCGGACUCGGAUGACGAUGGUCCCGAUGAAGAAGUUGAUGAGGAGGGGUUCACGCCGAAGGAUGCCCAAGCAUUCAAGAAGGUAUUCGGGAAGGACCACAAGACACCAUUGUUCAAGGAUCUUAGUCUCGCGGAUGAAGCCGUUGUGGAUGGUGGCAAAUGCAUAUCUCUUGGAGCUAGGCCAAGUUCUCAC